CCUGAGAUCGGACGAGAUCACCCGCUGAAUUUAAGCAUAUUACUAAGCGGAGGAAAAGAAACUAACAAGGAUUCCCUCAG
Molecule: ribosomal RNA, 80 nt
Filed under: Aporrectodea rosea
Lineage: Eukaryota; Metazoa; Annelida; Clitellata; Crassiclitellata; Lumbricidae
Also listed under: 3 other names
Description: partial 28S ribosomal RNA
Rfam family: Eukaryotic large subunit ribosomal RNA
Source: RNAcentral